AUGCAGUCGAGCGGGGUUUUCGGACCUAGCGGCGGACGGGUGAGUAAUGCGUAGGAAGCUACCCGAUAGAGGGGGAUACCAGUUGGAAACGACUGUUAAUACCGCAUAAUGUCUACGGACCAAAGUGUGGGACCUUCGGGCCACAUGCUAUCGGAUGCGCCUACGUGGGAUUAGCUAGUUGGUGGGGUAAUGGCUCACCAAGGCGACGAUCCCUAGCUGGUUUGAGAGGAUGAUCAGCCACACUGGAACUGAGACACGGUCCAGACUCCUACGGGAGGCAGCAGUGGGGAAUAUUGGACAAUGGGCGCAAGCCUGAUCCAGCCAUGCCGCGUGUGUGAAGAAGGCCUUCGGGUUGUAAAGCACUUUCAGCGAGGAGGAAGGGAGUUGUGUUAAUAGCACAGCUUCUUGACGUUACUCGCAGAAGAAGCACCGGCUAACUCUGUGCCAGCAGCCGCGGUAAUACAGAGGGUGCAAGCGUUAAUCGGAAUUACUGGGCGUAAAGCGCACGUAGGCGGUUUUUUAAGUCAGAUGUGAAAGCCCCGGGCUCAACCUGGGUAUUGCAUUUGAGACUGGAAAACUAGAGUGUGUGAGAGGGGGGUAGAAUUCCAAGUGUAGCGGUGAAAUGCGUAGAGAUUUGGAGGAAUACCAGUGGCGAAGGCGGCCCCCUGGCACAACACUGACGCUCA
Molecule: ribosomal RNA, 686 nt
Filed under: uncultured bacterium
Lineage: Bacteria
Description: bacterial SSU rRNA
Rfam family: Bacterial small subunit ribosomal RNA
Source: RNAcentral